GUGCCAGCAGCCGCGGUAAGACGAGGGAUCCUAGCGUUGUUCGGAAUCAUUGGGCGUAAAGCGGAUGUAGGUGGCUUUGUAAGUCAGGUGUGAAAGCCCCGGGCUCAACCCGGGAAGUGCAUUUGAUACUGCGAAGCUUGAGUGCUGGAGAGGUAAGUAGAAUUCCUGGUGUAGUGGUGAAAUACGUAGAUAUCAGGAGGAAUACCGGAGGCGAAGGCGGCUUACCAGCCAGACACUGACACUCAGAUCCGAAAGUGUGGGGAUCAAACAGGAUUAGAUACCCUGGUAGUCC
Molecule: ribosomal RNA, 292 nt
Filed under: uncultured bacterium
Lineage: Bacteria
Description: partial 16S ribosomal RNA
Rfam family: Bacterial small subunit ribosomal RNA
Source: RNAcentral